UAAUGCUGUAGAAUACAUUGCUCCAAAUUAAAUCAAGUAAAAGUUGUAUUAAUUAGUUUAUUAAGUGCUAAAAAAAAGAAAAGAAAACAAAGGGAAGUAUGGGGAAGGCUUUUAUGAAGUUUUCAACAUUUGUUGUUGCUUUGUUGCUAAUCAUCAUGGUUGCAGAUAUUCCAUCCAGUAAGGUGGCAGAGGCACAAGUGCAAACGUGUAAUCAUGCAAAGGAUUGUCAUUAUUGUUUCAUUCCUAUUUGUAUUUUUCAUCAAUGCUUUUGUUGGUCCAAGUCAAAGUCUGAUGUGACUACGGUUCGUGGCCCGAAACCCGAGAAUUGAUGAUGUGGGGAUAAAAAUUUAUUCGCACUCAAAAUUUUACGUUUUACAUGAACUAAGUGCGGAUAAAUUUUUACUAUAUCGACUAUCGUUAUGUAUGUUUCUAUUUCCUAAAUGAAUAUGAACUUCAAAACUCUUAUGUUGAGUAA
Molecule: long non-coding RNA, 475 nt
Organism: Lycium barbarum (goji berry)
Lineage: Eukaryota; Viridiplantae; Streptophyta; Magnoliopsida; Solanales; Solanaceae
Exons: 2
Source: RefSeq, a predicted model, not a curated record